This 1037-nucleotide long non-coding RNA is filed under the name Cricetulus griseus (Chinese hamster). RNAcentral's name for it is "lncRNA (ENSCGRG00015027471.2)". The record is from RNAcentral. Lineage: Eukaryota; Metazoa; Chordata; Mammalia; Rodentia; Cricetidae.
CCUACCUUGGCUGCCGGCGCUGUCCUCCAGUCCUCGGAACCCUACGACUCUGGUUCCAUCUGUCUCCCUCGCCGGCUCCAGACAGGCGCCCACUAGAGCGCAGGCGCCACCUAGUGGCUGCGGGCCGGUAGCGCUGGCAGAGGCUGGGAGGUGCGAGCGCAGUGCAGGGCGGAAAUGCAGCUGGGCCUUCCCACGUGGGCGGCUUCCUACACGGCGGAGCCCGGGGGUGCAGAUCCGGCCUGGGCCGGACCACCUUCACCCCUUUGGGGAGCGUGGGGAACGGAGUUCGCUGUACUUUUUCUUGGAGGCGUGGAGGAGUUGUCAGGCCUGGGCCCCUGACCUGGGAUCCACCUUGGGAUUUUCCUGGCAGGGCUCGUGGAUAUUUUCCUUCCACCAUCAGCAUUGAGUACAGCCUAGCGUGGCAUGGCUUCUCUUUUAAACGCGCUGGGAGCAUCCGAAGUGAAUAUUCAUUGAGAAUCUGUACACCAGACACCUGUGUAAACGAGGGAUCCAUUCAAGAACAACCACAAAAACCUCUGCCUCCUGGUUGCAUGCGUGAACUCACAGCAUGUACACACAACAGUGAGCAAACCCAAACCCGACUAAGUCCCAGCAUAGAGUGGGAAGGUGGGACCGAAGUUCUGCACCUGACUGAGGAGCUACUGGUAUUUGAUAACCAAUGGGAGAGGGAAAGUCAGUUUUCUUUAAAUGAUUUGACAAUGAAGGGACCGGCUCCCCUUUUGGCAGUCAUAGCGGCGGAACACGUGCUUGUAUGACCUUGUCCUGGACACUAGAAAGUCAGAUGCCUGCCUCGUGACAAGGAACCAAUCAGAAGUUAGCUGUGGCGCUAUGCUUUACGACCCUGGGUGUACUUUAUGGACAAGCACACAGCAAGCAAUGACGCAAAGCAUAGCAACCACCCUGGGAGGGCCUUUGGGCCAUAACAACCAAUUGGCCAAUCAACACAGGGCAAUCCCUCCAAGGCUGGAGGCAUACCAAUAGUGAGCCUGUGUGUACCCCUAGACACUCCCCUUACG